Molecule: long non-coding RNA, 544 nt
Filed under: Rattus norvegicus (Norway rat)
Lineage: Eukaryota; Metazoa; Chordata; Mammalia; Rodentia; Muridae
Description: long non-coding RNA NONRATT014308
Source: RNAcentral
GACCAGAACCGAGUGCAGUGCUUCAGCUGAGUCUCACCGACGUCUGGGAUAAUGUGCGCUAAUUUCUGGAGACAAACACGUUUUGUCAUAACCCGAGACCUGUAAUCAGUACUAUUGGCUGAAACAGUCAUCAUGGCAGCUUUGCUUCGAGAAGACAGAGAUGUGGGAUCCCUUGCACGAGAGCACACAGCAGCUGCAGAACUCUGCCUUCUCCAGUCUGCCCAGAAAGUAGACUCAGCCAGUGGGAUAAAGAGACCUUAAAAAGGAAGACUUGGUUAAAAUGCUUUUAGUAGACAUUAUCAUAAAACUUCCUGGACUUCAUUUGAUAAGAAAAGGGGCAAAAGCGAAACCAUAAUGCAAUGUAUACGUUGUUUAUUUCUGACAUUUUACACGAGGAGAUUCCUCAUCUGUGUCCUCGGUUGAGACCAGUAAGAAAAUACAAAGUUAUCCCACUAUGUAAGCUGACACUCCUUCAAAGCCUUGUUAUUCUUGUUCCUUUCGAUGUAUAUCAACUCCAAAAUACACAGUGACACGAAAAUUGUGU